This 463-nucleotide unclassified non-coding RNA is filed under the name Trichosporon japonicum. RNAcentral describes it as "sequence contains 18S rRNA gene, ITS1, 5.8S rRNA gene, ITS2, 28S rRNA gene". The stretch from base 133 to 286 matches the Rfam family "5.8S ribosomal RNA". Lineage: Eukaryota; Fungi; Basidiomycota; Tremellomycetes; Trichosporonales; Trichosporonaceae. The record is from RNAcentral.
GAUCAUUAGUGAUUGCCUUAAUUGGCUUAUAACUAUAUCCACUUACACCUGUGAACUGUUCUACUACUUGACGCAAGUCGAGUAUUUUUACAAACAAUGUGUAAUGAACGUCGUUUUAUUAUAACAAAAUAAAACUUUCAACAACGGAUCUCUUGGCUCUCGCAUCGAUGAAGAACGCAGCGAAUUGCGAUAAGUAAUGUGAAUUGCAGAAUUCAGUGAAUCAUCGAAUCUUUGAACGCAGCUUGCGCUCUCUGGUAUUCCGGAGAGCAUGCCUGUUUCAGUGUCAUGAAAUCUCAACCACUAGGGUUUCCUAAUGGAUUGGAUUUGGGCGUCUGCGAUCUCUGAUCGCUCGCCUUAAAAGAGUUAGCAAGUUUGACAUUAAUGUCUGGUGUAAUAAGUUUCACUGGGUCCAUUGUGUUGAAGCGUGCUUCUAAUCGUCCGCAAGGACAAUUACUUGACUCUG